GGUUAAGCGACUAAGCGUACACGGUGGAUGCCCUGGCAGUCAGAGGCGAUGAAGGGCGUGCUAAUCUGCGAUAAGCGCCGGUAAGGUGAUAUGAACCGUUAUAACCGGCGAUACCCGAAUGGGGAAACCCAGUGUGAUUCGUCACACUAUCAUUAACUGAAUCCAUAGGUUAAUGAGGCGAACCGGGGGAACUGAAACAUCUAAGUACCCCGAGGAAAAGAAAUCAACCGAGAUUCCCCCAGUAGCGGCGAGCGAACGGGGAGGAGCCCAGAGCCUGAAUCAGCAUGUGUGUUAGUGGAAGCGUCUGGAAAGGCGCGCGAUACAGGGUGACAGCCCCGUACACAAAAGCGCAUGUGCUGUGAGCUCGAUGAGUAGGGCGGGACACGUGGUAUCCUGUCUGAAUAUGGGGGGACCAUCCUCCAAGGCUAAAUACUCCUGACUGACCGAUAGUGAACCAGUACCGUGAGGGAAAGGCGAAAAGAACCCCGGCGAGGGGAGUGAAAAAGAACCUGAAACCGUGUACGUACAAGCAGUGGGAGCACAGGUUUACCUGUGUGACUGCGUACCUUUUGUAUAAUGGGUCAGCGACUUAUAUUCUGUAGCAAGGUUAACCGUAUAGGGGAGCCGGAGGGAAACCGAGUCUUAAUUGGGCGUUAAGUUGCAGGGUAUAGACCCGAAACCCGGUGAU
RNAcentral lists this ribosomal RNA (688 nucleotides) under Salmonella enterica. RNAcentral's name for it is "partial 23S ribosomal RNA". It matches the Rfam family "Bacterial large subunit ribosomal RNA", at positions 1 to 729 of the family's 2925-position model. The record is from RNAcentral. Lineage: Bacteria; Pseudomonadati; Pseudomonadota; Gammaproteobacteria; Enterobacterales; Enterobacteriaceae.